AUGCUGGAUCUCUGUUUAGUUGUCACUGUGUUAACCACAACCAACAUGCUGGAUCUCUGUUUAGUUGUCACUGUGUUAACCACAACCAACAUGCUGGAUAUCUGUUUAGUUGUCACUGUGUUGACCACAACCAACAUGCUGGAUCUCUGUUUAGUUGUCACUGUGUUAACCACAACCAACAUGCUGGAUCUCUGUUUAGUUGUUACUGUGUUAACCACAACCAACAUGCUGGAUCUCUGUUUAGUUGUCACUGUGUUGACCACAACCAACAUGCUGGAUCUCUGUUUAGUUGUCACUGUGUUAACCACAACCAACAUGCUGGAUCUCUGUUUAGUUGUCACUGUGUUAACCACAACCAACAUGCUGCAUCUCUGUUUAGUUGUCACUGUGUUAACCACAACCAACAUGCUGGAUCUCUGUUUAGUUGUUACUGUGUUAACCACAACCAACAUGCUGGAUCUCUGUUUAGUUGUCACUGUGUUAACCACAACCAACAUGCUGGAUCUCUGUUUAGUUGUUACUGUGUUAACCACAACCAACAUGCUGGAUCUCUGUUUAGUUGUCACUGUGUUAACCACAACCAACAUGCUGGAUCUCUGUUUAGUUGUCACUGUGUUAACCACAACCAACAUGCUGGAUCUAUGUUUAGUUGUCACUGUGUUAACCACAACCAACAUGCUGGAUCUCUGUUUAGUUGUCACUGUGUUAACCAACAUGCUGGAUCUCUGUUUAGUUGUCACUGUGUUAACCACAACCAACAUGCUGGAUCUCUGUUUAGUUGUUACUGUGUUAAUCACAACCAACAUGCUGGAUCUCUGUUUAGUUGUUACUGUGUUAACCACAACCAACAUGCUGGAUCUCUGUUUAGUUGUCACUGUGUUGACCACAACCAACAUGCUGGAUCUCUGUUUAGUUGUUACUGUGUUAAUCACAACCAACAUGCUGGAUCUCUGUUUAGUUGUUACUGUGUUAACCACAACCAACAUGCUGGAUCUCUGUUUAGUUGUCACUGUGUUAACCACAACCAACAUGCUGGAUCUCUGUUUAGUUGUCACUGUGUUAACCACAACCAACAUGCUGGAUCUCUGUUUAGUUGUCACUGUGUUAACCACAACCAACAUGCUGGAUCUCUGUUUAGUUGUCACUGUGUUAACCACAACCAACAUGCUGGAUCUCUGUUUAGUUGUCACUGUGUUAACCACAACCAACAUGCUGGAUCUCUGUUUAGUUGUCACUGUGUUAACCACAACCAACAUGCUGGAUCUCUGUUUAGUUGUCACUGUGUUUACCACAACCAACAUGCUGGAUCUCUGUUUAGUUGUCACUGUGUUAACCACAACCAACAUGCUGGAUCUCUGUUUAGUUGUCAUUGUGUUAACCACAACCAACAUGCUGGAUCUCUGUUUAGUUGUCACUGUGUUAACCACAACCAACAUGCUGGAUCUCUGUUUAGUUGUUACUGUGUUAACCACAACCAACAUGCUGGAUCUCUGUUUAGUUGUCACUGUCUUAACCACAACCAACAUGCUGGAUCUCUGUUUAGUUGUCACUGUGUUAACCACAACCAACAUGCUGGAUCUCUGUUUAGGGGUCAGUGCUCUAAAAUGA
This 1608-nucleotide long non-coding RNA is filed under the name Salmo trutta (river trout). Its description in RNAcentral is "lncRNA (ENSSTUG00000025015.1)". The record is from RNAcentral. Lineage: Eukaryota; Metazoa; Chordata; Actinopteri; Salmoniformes; Salmonidae.